GAAUUUGUGGCUGCGAAUACUUUUGGUGAGUGGCGGAAGUGAAAGAUUUGGUCUCAACAAACAUUGCUUGAAUAGUCACCACCACCGCACAGUACUUCCAUGAUUCUGCGUUUGUGUUGAAGCUUUCCACUAUUUCCGAGAUUUCACAAGCUUAGUUCACCUUACUUGACAAGUUAAAAACAUGAGCUGAUACCAUAAUUUAAAUCUCUCAUAAUUUCAUUAGCAAAAAAUAAUCGUUUAGAUGUUCUAGUUU
RNAcentral lists this unclassified non-coding RNA (253 nucleotides) under Hevea brasiliensis (rubber tree). The record is from RNAcentral. Lineage: Eukaryota; Viridiplantae; Streptophyta; Magnoliopsida; Malpighiales; Euphorbiaceae.